RNAcentral lists this ribosomal RNA (528 nucleotides) under uncultured bacterium. RNAcentral describes it as "partial 16S ribosomal RNA". It matches the Rfam family "Bacterial small subunit ribosomal RNA", at positions 355 to 874 of the family's 1533-position model. The record is from RNAcentral.
UGGGGAAUAUUGCACAAUGGGCGCAAGCCUGAUGCAGCCAUGCCGCGUGUGUGAAGAAGGCCUUCGGGUUGUAAAGCACUUUCAGCGAGGAGGAAGGUGGUGGACUUAAUACGUUCAUCAAUUGACGUUACUCGCAGAAGAAGCACCGGCUAACUCCGUGCCAGCAGCCGCGGUAAUACGGAGGGUGCAAGCGUUAAUCGGAAUUACUGGGCGUAAAGCGCACGCAGGCGGUUUGUUAAGUCAGAUGUGAAAUCCCCGGGCUCAACCUGGGAACUGCAUUUGAAACUGGCAAGCUAGAGUCUCGUAGAGGGGGGUAGAAUUCCAGGUGUAGCGGUGAAAUGCGUAGAGAUCUGGAGGAAUACCGGUGGCGAAGGCGGCCCCCCUGGACGAAGACUGACGCUCAGGUGCGAAAGCGUGGGGAGCAAACAGAUUAGAUACCCUGGUAGUCCACGCUGUAAACGAUGUCGAUUUUGGAGGUUGUGCCCUUGAGGCGUGGCUUCCGGAGCUAACGCGUUAAAUCGACCGCCU